AAGAACAGUAAGACAACCAGUGUAUCACAGAUUUGGUUUAAGACCAGCAUGUUAUAAUAAAAUGUAUCACUACAGAAAACAAUACAAUAUAAAAAGGGCUACAGAUCUCCAGCAACUGAAG
This is a long non-coding RNA of Haliotis rubra (blacklip abalone), 121 nucleotides long. RefSeq lists it as uncharacterized. The transcript is spliced from 3 exons. NCBI's taxonomy places the organism in Eukaryota, Metazoa, Mollusca, Gastropoda, Lepetellida, Haliotidae. The record is from RefSeq and is a predicted model, not a curated record.